UAAAGGGAGACCUGCCUAAAUCAAGUCGAAAGGCAAAAGUAAAAAGUCAAGAAGGCUUGAGGAAGGAAAUCCCUUGGUCGGUCGAAGAGAAAUGCGGCUUUCAAACUAUAAACUUGGAUUGGUAAAGACACGCGGGCUAUUAGCUCAGGUGGUUAGAGCGCACCCCUGAUAAGGGUGAGGUCCCUGGUUCGAGUCCAGGAUGGCCCACCUAAAAAAGUUAAGGGAAAGUGCUGCGAGAGUAAGAGUGUGAUAGACUAGGAAAGCGGAAAAAAUCGAUUCAGCACCUAGACAGAAUUAAAAGCUGUCAGACUGCUGGAUGAAAAGCCAGCCAGAACCUUGAAAACUGCAUAGUAAAUAGCGUUAAACAAGUAGAGUAGGCGUUGUGGCGGUAGCGGCAGCAAUAGUUAGCAGCACAGCCAGCCGAAAAAUAUCAAGAUAACG
RNAcentral lists this transfer RNA (441 nucleotides) under coccoid cyanobacterium ATA6-11-RM1. RNAcentral's name for it is "16S-23S ribosomal RNA intergenic spacer". The stretch from base 134 to 207 matches the Rfam family "tRNA". Lineage: Bacteria; Bacillati; Cyanobacteriota. The record is from RNAcentral.